This is a long non-coding RNA of Felis catus (domestic cat), 1108 nucleotides long. RefSeq lists it as uncharacterized. NCBI's taxonomy places the organism in Eukaryota, Metazoa, Chordata, Mammalia, Carnivora, Felidae. The transcript is spliced from 4 exons. The record is from RefSeq and is a predicted model, not a curated record.
CACUUGCAGAAGUCAAGGAAGAAACCAGGCUCCUGCUAGCAACUACCAAUCCGGACUCCUACUUCGCGGGUUUUGGCCAAUUGCCGCUCACCCGUCCCUGGGGACUGGAGUCGGCGCUCUCGCGCCUGCGCUCGAGAGGAAGACCAAUGGAGAGACGCAGAUAACUUCGAUUUGGGGCUUCAUGGACUUCCCACCUGCCCUCGAGGUCUUCCACCAAUAAGGGCCUGGGAUUGCCUCCGAGAAACAAUAAAUAAGGGAGGGGGUCCACAAACCCUCACCUCCCUGCGCGGGAACUACUUUGAGUUACGAAAAGAGACUGAUAGCCAUAAAGGUCAACUAUCUAAGGUUAACUCUGUAAUUCUACAACUAGUUCAGACCUCAAACAUAGAUCUCCUAAAAUAAGAUUUCACUACUUUGGCGACAGCAGCAUAGAGCUUUGGAGAAGGGCAGUGAGAGUGCUUGGAAGGGGAGGCACCUCAAGAGAAGCAGAUUGGGUGUACGGGAAGACCCAGCCUUUGGGGAACCUAACCCACAUAUGAGGAAGAUCACAAUUCUUCAGGAAGCUUUUGAACAUCUCCAGAGCCUGAACAGAGAGAGAGAGAGAGAGAGAGAGAGAGAGAGAGCAAGCAGGAAGACCAGAGAGAGGGAGACAGAAUCCCAAGCAGGCUCCGCGCCAUCAGCACAGAGUCCAUGCGAGGCUGGAACCCAGGAAUGUGAGAUCAUGACCGGAGGCGAAGUUAAGAGUUGGACGUUUACUGACUGAGCCACCCAGGUGCCUCCACAAUUUAUUUUUUAAAAUUUGGCUCAUUCAGACAGAGGCAAGGGCUCUCUGGUCCUCUUCUCCCACCUAUUGUCACUCCUUAUAACUUGCCACCUAUUUCCACCUGGGCAUGCGCAGCAGGAACUUUGCAAGGCUGAAUGGCUGCCAAACUUCUUGGCAGAAAUCUGAGCUAGAGUACCCGGUAAAUGCUCCUGAAGUGUUAAUUCUUGUUUGAAAACCAAAAUUUGGUGACCUGCAACAGCUCCCUGUAUACAAUAAUCCUUUGUCAAUGAUCAAAUGAAAUUGUGAGUAAAUAAAAGAUAAAAAUAAAAAAAUAAAAUAAAUGAA